This 486-nucleotide ribosomal RNA is filed under the name uncultured bacterium. RNAcentral's name for it is "partial 16S ribosomal RNA". It matches the Rfam family "Bacterial small subunit ribosomal RNA", at positions 30 to 507 of the family's 1533-position model. The record is from RNAcentral.
AUUGAACGCUGGCGGCAUGCCUUACACAUGCAAGUCGAACGGCAGCACGGGUGCCUGCACCUGGUGGCGAGUGGCGAACGGGUGAGUAAUACAUCGGAACAUGUCCUGUAGUGGGGGAUAGCCCGGCGAAAGCCGGAUUAAUACCGCAUACGAUCCACGGAUGAAAGCGGGGGACCUUCGGGCCUCGCGCUAUAGGGUUGGCCGAUGGCUGAUUAGCUAGUUGGUGGGGUAAAGGCCUACCAAGGCGACGAUCAGUAGCUGGUCUGAGAGGACGACCAGCCACACUGGGACUGAGACACGGCCCAGACUCCUACGGGAGGCAGCAGUGGGGAAUUUUGGACAAUGGGCGAAAGCCUGAUCCAGCAAUGCCGCGUGUGUGAAGAAGGCCUUCGGGUUGUAAAGCACCUUUGUCCGGAAAGAAAUCCUUGACUCUAAUACAGUCGGGGGAUGACGGUACCGGAAGAAUAAGCACCGGCUAACUACGUG